Molecule: ribosomal RNA, 513 nt
Filed under: uncultured bacterium
Lineage: Bacteria
Description: bacterial SSU rRNA
Rfam family: Bacterial small subunit ribosomal RNA
Source: RNAcentral
UAGUCCACGCCGUAAACGAUGGAUACUUGGUGUUGGAGGUAUUGACCCCUUCAGUGCCGUAGCUAACGCGUUAAGUAUCCCGCCUGGGGAGUACGGUCGCAAGAUUAAAACUCAAAGAAAUUGACGGGGGCCCGCACAAGCGGUGGAGCAUGUGGUUUAAUUCGAUGCAACGCGAAAAACCUUACCUGGUCUUGACAUCCUUCUGAUUGUUUCUGGAGACAGAAUCGUUCCUUCGGGACAGAAGUGACAGGUGCUGCAUGGCUGUCGUCAGCUCGUGUCGUGAGAUGUUGGGUUAAGUCCCGCAACGAGCGCAACCCUUGUCUUUAGUUGCCAUCAUUAAGUUGGGCACUUUAAAGAGACUGCCGGUGACAAACCGGAGGAAGGUAAGGAUGACGUCAAGUCAGCAUGCCCCUUAUGCUCUGGGCUACACACGUGCUACAAUGGCCGUGACAAAGAGUUGCUACUUUGUGAAAACAAGCUAAUCUCAUAAACGCGGCCUCAGUUCGGAUUGCG